RNAcentral lists this transfer RNA (71 nucleotides) under Loxodonta africana (African savanna elephant). It matches the Rfam family "tRNA". From Rfam's summary of the family: Transfer RNA (tRNA) molecules are approximately 80 nucleotides in length. Their secondary structure includes four short double-helical elements and three loops (D, anti-codon, and T loops). Further hydrogen bonds mediate the characteristic L-shaped molecular structure. tRNAs have two regions of fundamental functional importance: the anti-codon, which is responsible for specific mRNA codon recognition, and the 3' end, to which the tRNAs corresponding amino acid is attached (by aminoacyl-tRNA synthetases). tRNAs cope with the degeneracy of the genetic code in two manners: having more than one tRNA (with a specific anti-codon) for a particular amino acid; and 'wobble' base-pairing, i.e. permitting non-standard base-pairing at the 3rd anti-codon position. Lineage: Eukaryota; Metazoa; Chordata; Mammalia; Proboscidea; Elephantidae. The record is from Rfam by way of RNAcentral.
GCAUUAGUAGUUAAGUGGUAGAAUUCUCGCACUCCAUGCGAGAGACCGGGGUUCAGUUCCCAGCUAGCGCA